UACGGAGGGUGCAAGCGUUGUCCGGAAUCACUGGGCGUAAAGGGCGCGUAGGCGGCUCAUGAAGGCUGUGGUGAAAGUCCGGGGCUCAACCUCGGAUCGGCCGUGGCGACUCGUGGGCUGGAGCACUGUAGAGGCGGGUGGAAUUCCGGGUGUAGCGGUGGAAUGCGUAGAGAUGCGGAAGAACACCGGUGGCGAAGGCGGCCUGCUGGGCAGUGGCUGACGCUGAGGCGCGACAGCGUGGGGAGCAAACAGG
RNAcentral lists this ribosomal RNA (253 nucleotides) under uncultured bacterium. Its description in RNAcentral is "partial 16S ribosomal RNA". It matches the Rfam family "Bacterial small subunit ribosomal RNA", at positions 524 to 776 of the family's 1533-position model. The record is from RNAcentral.